This 253-nucleotide ribosomal RNA is filed under the name uncultured bacterium. RNAcentral describes it as "partial 16S ribosomal RNA". It matches the Rfam family "Bacterial small subunit ribosomal RNA", at positions 524 to 776 of the family's 1533-position model. The record is from RNAcentral.
UACGUAGGGUGCAAGCGUUGUCCGGAAUUAUUGGGCGUAAAGCGCUCGUAGGCGGUUCGUCGCGUCGGCUGUGAAAACCUGAGGCUCAACCUCAGGCCUGCAGUCGAUACGGGCGGACUUGAGUACUGCAGGGGAGACUGGAAUUCCUGGUGUAGCGGUGAAAUGCGCAGAUAUCAGGAGGAACACCGGUGGCGAAGGCGGCGAUCUGGGUCGAUACUGACGCUGAGGUGCGAAAGCGUGGGGAGCAAACAGG